GUACUGCAAAAUCUUACCUCUGCUCUGAAAAUACAUUAUAUUCCUAUCCAGCGGAUGAAAAGCAAUCGGCCGGCAGAUAUAGCUAAUAUCCAUUUUAUCAAAAUUCCAUUGCUCCAAACUCCAUACCCCUUUUUUAUAAUCUUUUAGUACCCAAGCCCUCCAAUUCACCAAAUGUUCCGUUUUCUGUCCAAUGAAUGAUACCUAACAACUUUCCAAGAUUGGGUCAUAAACGUUAUUAGAUUUUCAGGAUCGACAUUUCCCAUUUGCCGGUCACGGAACAAAAAAUGGCAGGGAAGAAUGGUUUUCGUAUCCGACGUCGUUUUUAGGAGGGAGUUGGAUCGACAAACAACAAAAUUAAAAUCAGAUCCAGGUAAGGACUGGAAUAAUAGGAAUUGGCCACUAGAGGCGAGGCAUGUGAAUUUUUGUUGGGAAUAGGGAAAAAAAUCCACGGGGAAGAGUCUUUGUGGCGCGAAGGAUAAAACUUAAUAAACAGCUUUAAUUCCUUGAAUAUCAUCUGAGCCCAAACCUUUGAUAACUCCUUGAUCCGUUAUCGGGUACAUGAUUGCUGCCUUAUACUGAGGUUACAC
RNAcentral lists this long non-coding RNA (587 nucleotides) under Panax ginseng (ginseng). Its description in RNAcentral is "long non-coding RNA (PGIN_LNC006503)". The record is from RNAcentral. Lineage: Eukaryota; Viridiplantae; Streptophyta; Magnoliopsida; Apiales; Araliaceae.